GGACCAGGUGGAGAGGUGGAAUUAGAACCUUUGCCGGGGCGGGAUGGAGCACACUAACACCAGACAGAGGACCAGGUGGAGAGGUGGAAUUAGAACCUUUGCCGGGGCGGGAUGGAGCACACUAACACCAGACAGAGGACCAGGUGGAGAGGUGGAAUUAGAACCUUUGCCGGGGUGGGAUGGAGCACACUAACACCAGACAGAGGACCAGGUGGAGAGGUGGAAUUAGAACCUUUGCCGGGGUGGGAUGGAGCACACUAACACCAGACAGAGGACCAGGUGGAGAGGUGGAAUUAGAACCUUUGCCGGGGUGGGAUGGAGCACACUAACACCAGACAGAGGACCAGGUGGAGAGGUGGAAUUAGAACCUUUGCCGGGGCGGGAUGGAGCACACUAACACCAGACAGAGGACCAGGUGGAGAGGUGGAAUUAGAACCUUUGCCGGGGAGGGAUGGAGCACACUAACACCAGACAGAGGACCAGGUGGAGAGGUG
This is a long non-coding RNA of Eriocheir sinensis (Chinese mitten crab), 494 nucleotides long. RefSeq lists it as uncharacterized. The transcript has 4 exons. The record is from RefSeq and is a predicted model, not a curated record. Lineage: Eukaryota; Metazoa; Arthropoda; Malacostraca; Decapoda; Varunidae.